RNAcentral lists this ribosomal RNA (557 nucleotides) under uncultured bacterium. Its description in RNAcentral is "partial 16S ribosomal RNA". It matches the Rfam family "Bacterial small subunit ribosomal RNA", at positions 355 to 900 of the family's 1533-position model. The record is from RNAcentral.
UGGGGAAUAUUGGACAAUGGGCGCAAGCCUGAUCCAGCAAUGCCGCGUGUGUGAAGAAGGCCUUCGGGUUGUAAAGUACUUUUAUCAGGAGCGAAACGCUGUCGGCUAAUACCCGGCGGAACUGACGGUACCUGAGGAAUAAGCACCGGCUAACUUCGUGCCAGCAGCCGCGGUAAUACGAAGGGUGCAAGCGUUAAUCGGAAUUACUGGGCGUAAAGCGUGCGUAGGCGGUUUCUUAAGUCUGCUGUGAAAUCCCCGGGCUCAACCUGGGAAUGGCAGUGGAUACUGGGAGGCUAGAGUGUGUCAGAGGGUGGUGGAAUUCCCGGUGUAGCGGUGAAAUGCGUAGAGAUCGGGAGGAACAUCAGUGGCGAAGGCGGCCACCUGGGACAACACUGACGCUGAGGCACGAAAGCGUGGGGAGCAAACAGGAUUAGAUACCCUGGUAGUCCACGCCCUAAAGCGAUGCGAACUGGAUGUUGGUCUCAACUCGGAGAUCAGUGCCGAAGCUAACGCGUUAAGUUCGCCCGCCCUGGGGAGUACGGUCGCAAGACUGAAAC